GUGUGUGCUCAUGAACAGAACUGUCAGACAUUCUACACAGGACAGGAAUAACAGUCAUGUGAAAUUACUCUCCAGUGACUACUACACUCCUACCUUCUCCACCUUCACCUCCAUCAGAAGUGUCAUCCACUUCCUAUCCUGAGAACCCUCAUCAAAUCUCUGAUGACCAUCAGGAACAUUAAUCUCAACAGCUCACUCAACUUCAUUCACCAGACCGGAUCCAGAGGCUGGUGCAUAUUGGAUCUGCUCCACCUGAGGUGGAUGAUGGGUGGAUGUCAGACAGCGCUGCCUGGUCUCCGCUGCCUUGUUGCUCGGGUGAUUUCCUACAUCCGCUGCCGCAAUAGGUACAUCUGCUGGUGUGCCCUUCCUGGUGGUUUCUGGGAUUUCGUACUCCUCCGGGAUAGGAUGGUCUCUUGGAAUUUGAAUGAUUCAGUCGAAUUCACAGCUCAGCACUGAAUCUCAGGAGGGACAAGUUGGGAUCCACCACCAUGCUUCACUGCGUGUAUCAGGUUGUUUUCUGUACGUCUGAAUUUUUACAGAAAACACUCCUCUGGUGUAUGCUGCCAAAAGGCUA
This is a long non-coding RNA of Esox lucius (northern pike), 574 nucleotides long. RefSeq lists it as uncharacterized. Lineage: Eukaryota; Metazoa; Chordata; Actinopteri; Esociformes; Esocidae. The record is from RefSeq and is a predicted model, not a curated record. The transcript is spliced from 3 exons.